Chrysemys picta bellii (western painted turtle) is the source of this 1573-nucleotide long non-coding RNA. The record is from Ensembl. Lineage: Eukaryota; Metazoa; Chordata; Testudines; Emydidae.
AAUUCUGCCAUGAAUGCAGGGGACUGGACUAGAUGACCUCUCGAGGUCCCUUCCAGUCCUAUGAUUCUAGGAUAUUGGAUCCCGAGCACUAUGAAGAGUGCAAGUCCCAUGGGCAGGCAUCUCACAAACUGUCCCACACCAUUUCUGCUGUAUGCAAUAUCCAGCACACCUUGGAAGGGGGAGGAGCAGAAUUUGCUCCACAUGAGUAAUUUACUCUUUACAGUUCAAACCUAGCUCUCAGUAGUCAGCGUUGGUAAUGUUAAUAAUCCAGAAUGAAAAGGAUAUUUCCAAAAGCCCAAUAUACACUUGUAGUUUGCACCUAUCGGUUAGUGUUUUCCUCAGAGGAAUGCAUACAAGGCAGAUCGGGCAGAAAUACCAGCCACAUCUGCGGCAUUUCCACUCAUCCCAUCUGCUUUUUAUUUCAUCAGCUGGGAAAGCACAGCUCUAGUCAUCUCACAAGACCAUUUUAUAGGGAUUAGUGUGGAUAAUUUAGAACUGAUAAGAGGAAAAACUGUAUCCUGCUUGGGCAGAUGUUUUUAAAAUGUAUUUCUACUGGGUUUGAUUACAGUUUAAGGACUUGUUUAUCGUUGUUGCCAAGACACUGUAAUAGAUACAAGCUGCAUUUAAGCAUCCUCAUACCUAUUUUGCCUAAACCAUUUUUCAGACGACAAUAUUAAUAAACAUUAACCAAAAUCUGGAUCUCUGUAAUGUGACAUGGGUCUAAUUUCUUGCACUUCCACUUCAGGCCAAUGUCAGUAUCACUAGCAGAUUGAGGAGGGAACCUAGGAGGGAGGGUCUAUUAGGAGAUAGGCAGAGUUCAGUGACAUGUCUGUUAUUUUUCUGUUUUACAUGGUGAUGGCUCAAGCAUAUAAGGUAAAGAAGUUCAACAACCCAAAGACUCUCUGCCCCCACCAUGCAACUGGAAAGAAACACACUGAGGAGAGAAGGCCUAGAAUUGAGACUGAUGUCCCGCAUUAAUGGACAUUGUCCAUGGAGGCCACCUUCACCACCUGAGAGCAGGAGGAAAUACUACUGAGUUUCUCAGAGCAGGAGGGACACUGAUCAGCCUGAUGAAAAUACUAGGAAGGAGUGAAGAAGUAUGUGGAAAUUAUGGCUUCACAUUUGCUAAAGCUGUUGCAGGUCAAUGCUUUGUCCUGGGAGAAAGAAGGGCAGAUAGAGAAGAACAAAGCAUCAGAACUUCCAGAGUCAGGUACUGUCUCUUUAAUUCUGAUAAAGUGGAGUCCCCCAAGGAUGAGUCCAAGAGGGCCCUAAAUGGCAAAAUGCUUCUGGCUUAUAGAUCAGUUAAGUGGCAAAGAUGGAAAGUAUGAAAAGAAGAAGAUUGCUGUGGAGGUGGAAACAAUAAGACCAUUAUGGCCUUUCAGAAAUACAAACAGAAAGUACGUAGCCACUAGUGGAACCAUGUACAACAUAAUUUGUUUAUAUAAAGUGUCCUUCAUCCUCUUCAGCACUACAUGAACCUCCAGAUGCAGCAAAUCCUGGAAUCAAUCUCUCUCUCACACACACACACACACACACACACACACACACACACACACACACACACACAACAAUA